Molecule: long non-coding RNA, 1380 nt
Organism: Bicyclus anynana (squinting bush brown)
Lineage: Eukaryota; Metazoa; Arthropoda; Insecta; Lepidoptera; Nymphalidae
Exons: 5
Source: RefSeq, a predicted model, not a curated record
CAGCAGGGUCAUUAUGUAACUCGGUGAACGCUUUAAAAUCACAGUCACGACAACAAAUGACAGCGAUUUUUCGUUUUUGCGAUCAUGUAACACACAUCUCCCACCGAAAUGACGUCAUCUUGGAUCGUUCUCUGUCACGGUCACUUGUAGGGAUUUAUCCAAGUUAUAACGCAGUUUUUACGUAUCGAUAGUCAGUUUAAGCGAUUAUGUAAGCAUAAUGAUCAUACAACUGGGUGACACAGAAGUUGUCAAAGUCAAUCGCUAUAGAAACUAAUACCGAGCAGUGUUUUAAUAAAGUUUACUUGACGCCUGUGAUUCAAUAAUUACAAAUAAAAGUACUUUUAGGAUUUUUUUGAAUUUUGUACUAUACCUUGUAAGUAAGGUAUUAGUUUGUAAGUCAAUAAAAUCAGAAUUAGAAAAGUUUUUCAUGUAAAAUAUGACGAAAGUUGAGAAUAUAUAGUAGGUACCUACCUACAUACUUAUUUCAAAAGCAGAAUUACAGUUUUAGAGUUAGUUGAAGUGAAUUUAAUUAAUUGUGUUAUUUUUGUAGUGUUUACCGACAUUGCCAUGUACAAUACAAUGCAUGUAGCAUUUGUAUUGUACGCGGAAACGGAACGAAAAAGAUGUCUUUGUCGAGUUCAUUGCAAAACUUUCGUGUCGCGAUACCAGCAGGUUUUAGAAGAAAUACAAAGUCUUCGAACAACUGCUGUUCGCAAUGAAUUAGAGAUAAGUCUAGGCAGCUUUAAACUUUUAUGCCAAUGGAUCAUACAAAUGGCUUUGUGAUGGCUAAGGCAUCUUUUAGCAAAUGCCUACAUGAAGUCGCUGACGCUCCUGAAUACCCCAGCUGUUUAAAAAAAAUGUGUUAAGUUCCCUUUGCAUUAAACACAAAAUCAUUAUAAAUAAAUAUGUGAUGCCAAUCUAAUAAUAACAUAGUGGAUGCUCAAUUUGGUGGUGCAUCUUAUGACUUGUACAUAUGGAACCAGUGCAAUAAGACCACUUGAGGAAAACCUGCCCAAUAGGGACCGCUGUUGGUUGUUAGGUGACCAAUGUUUGCAUGAUGACCCCCAUCUUGGGAGCUGCUCCUAGAUCCCAUGAAGAUAUGCACAACAUUGCUGUGUCAGAAAUACGGUGGAGCCUUGUAGUUGGGUGCAUAUUGUAAAAUGUUUCCUCACUCCAAAACCAUGAACUCUGGUUUCCUAAACCCUCAAGCUAUGCAGCCGAAGGAGGAGACUUAUCACAGGAGAAUCACUAAUAAUUUUGAAGAAGUGAAGAGCUUAACAAUGUUUCAACCAACACCUAAAGAAGCUUUCACUUGGCUGUUAGAUCAAGGGCUGGAUACAGAAAACAGUAAUCCUUGUGAUGGCAGCAUUGUCCAAGGAU